RNAcentral lists this ribosomal RNA (466 nucleotides) under uncultured Leptolinea sp. Its description in RNAcentral is "bacterial SSU rRNA". It matches the Rfam family "Bacterial small subunit ribosomal RNA", at positions 903 to 1382 of the family's 1533-position model. Lineage: Bacteria; Bacillati; Chloroflexota; Anaerolineae; Anaerolineales; Anaerolineaceae. The record is from RNAcentral.
AAAGGAAUUGACGGGUCUCCGCACAAGCAGCGGAGCGUGUGGUUUAAUUCGAUGAUACACGAAGAACCUUACCAGGGCUUGACAUGCAAGUGGUAGGAAACCGAAAGGAGACCGACCCUUCGGGGAGCUUGCACAGGUGCUGCAUGGCUGUCGUCAGCUCGUGUCGUGAGAUGUUCGGUUAAGUCCGCUAACGAGCGCAACCCUCGCUGCGUGUUACAAGUGUCACGCGGGACCGCCGGUAUUAAGCCGGAGGAAGGUGGGGAUGACGUCAAGUCAGCAUGGCCUUUAUGUCCUGGGCUACACACACGCUACAAUGGCCAGCACAGUAGGUUGCGAAACCGCGAGGUGGAGCCAAUCCCUAAAGUUGGCCUCAGUUCAGAUUGUAGGCUGCAACCCGCCUGCAUGAAGAUGGAGUUGCUAGUAAACGCAGGUCAGCUACACUGCGUUGAAUACGUUCCCGGAGAUU